UCCUCACCUGCAAUGGCGAAGCAAACCCACCCCCCGAACGAAAGGUUUUUUUUUAACGGUGCACAAAGAACCAAGGCAAGUGCGAGCGCGCGUUCGUUUCUCGUUCGUUCACGUAUGAAUAAUAAUAACAAUUAAAAGAAAAAAAAAAAAAGGAAAACGAAUUGAAAAGUAAAGUAUGAUAUAAUCUUCCAGGAUGACGAUGAUGAUAUACUUUAACGAUGAACAUAUACUUUGAUAUAUUGAGAAACAUGAAUAUGUGAUCGAGUUUAUGAAGCAUUGGUGCUGAAUUUACAGAUAAAUUAGGAAAAGAGCGGUGCAUCCUGCAGUGGCAACCAAAAUAUAAACGUUAUUCAAAUGAAAAGGAAGAAGAUAACUGAAUAUAACGAGCUGCAAAUCAGGCUACAGGAUCCCGGUUAAUUCGACAAAUAAACAUGCCACUCGAAUUUCGUUGGUUUCAUUAACGAUAAGAAUGCACGACGAAAGAUGAAAGAAUGAAGGAUGAUUCAACGAGGCGUUCUAAACGUUGGAACGCGCGUUAACAAUACCAGAGAGUUUAAAGUAAGGUGGACGUUUGGACCCCGACGUAUUCCCUUACCUUCUCGUUCUGAACGCAAUGGAACACAAAGAUAAACAGCCCCUGCAGACUAUUCAAUAUGGUGAAGAUGUACGCCAUCACGACGGAUUCUUGGUUCAAGUAGAGAAGCCCGAAGGUCCAGGUGAGUCCCAGUAGAAAUACUAAGACGAUCGCUCCUCUCAGCCAUGCCCUAGUCAGAAAAUAUCGAUCGAUGAGUCACAUUGAAGCUAAAAAUCUCAAGAACAAGAUAAUCGCGAGCGAUGCUUAAAGGAACGUGAACGAGAGCUAUGUGAAUUUAUCGGUAUGAGGGAUUUAGAGAAAAAAAUAUAAGAAAAAAAAGGUAACGAAGAGAGUGGGGGAGGGGGGGUGAAAGGAAACGAUCUCUUUAGUCUCGUGCCAUUGAAAGAAUUAAGAGUAACGUGCUAAAUGAUCGAUGAUGGUGUGACUUUAAUUCUAAUAAUUCCAAUGCUACAUUUGUCACGUUCUUAUCGAAAUGGAGCGGCGAGAACACGGAAGAUUAUCAGGAGACGGUGUUAUGCACCGCAGUGCACGCAACAUUUCGAGCUGCGCGAUGCUAACGUGUACUACUAAUGUUGCUCGUUUCUACACGCGUGCGCGUGUCGUGUACACACUCUUCAACAAAAGCAUUAGCAUCGUUAAUGUUCUCGCGAGUCUCGAAAGCGGCUGGCGUCCUAUAAGCAUCGCACACAGUGUUACUAUUUCUUACUUCUUUCCUCCUUCUCCGUAUCGACGUUCUUACUAUUUUUUCGCUUUUUCUUUUCUUUUCUUUUCUUUUCUUUCCUAGUUCCUGAUCUACUAGAAACGAUCAAGACUGCGGAUCUACGGGAGGAUCGGGUACACGAACUACACAGGCUUACCUUGCGCUGGCCAAUCGAGAGUGCUCCUUACUCUUCAUCGCUACGGUCGUGUUUGCGUGCCGGCACAUCAUAUAAAUCGCCAUCGAUAGGAAUACCAAGUUUGCCUAACAAGAAAACCGGAUAACAGCUUC
Molecule: long non-coding RNA, 1583 nt
Organism: Bombus impatiens (common eastern bumble bee)
Lineage: Eukaryota; Metazoa; Arthropoda; Insecta; Hymenoptera; Apidae
Exons: 3
Source: RefSeq, a predicted model, not a curated record